UACAGAGGUCUCAAGCGUUGUUCGGAUUCAUUGGGCGUAAAGGGUGCGUAGGUGGCGAGGUAAGUCGGAUGUGAAAUCCUGGGGCUCAACCCUAGAACUGCAUUCGAUACUGCUUUGCUCGAGUACUGGAGAGGAGAUUGGAAUUUAUGGUGUAGCAGUGAAAUGCGUAGAUAUCAUAAGGAAGACCAGUGGCGAAGGCGGAUCUCUGGACAGUUACUGACACUGAGGCACGAAGGCCAGGGGAGCAAACGGG
This 253-nucleotide ribosomal RNA is filed under the name uncultured bacterium. Its description in RNAcentral is "partial 16S ribosomal RNA". It matches the Rfam family "Bacterial small subunit ribosomal RNA", at positions 524 to 776 of the family's 1533-position model. The record is from RNAcentral.